RNAcentral lists this long non-coding RNA (209 nucleotides) under Prunus persica (peach). Its description in RNAcentral is "long non-coding RNA (PPER_LNC003271)". The record is from RNAcentral. Lineage: Eukaryota; Viridiplantae; Streptophyta; Magnoliopsida; Rosales; Rosaceae.
CCUGAUUCCGUUAAGGGAUACGUAGGCACCCCGAGGUUCGAGUUAGGGGCAACAGCAAAAUCAAACACACACGUUUUGUUUCUUUAUGAUGGAAUCAAAGGGUGUUCCCUUGAAGUAAGGGAUUGUAAUUAACAGACACGCAUCUCGAAUGGGUCAAGCCUAAAAUAAUAAAAUUUCAUUAUUUAAUUAGUUGUGGUGAAAUUAUGUUG